This 224-nucleotide ribosomal RNA is filed under the name uncultured bacterium. RNAcentral's name for it is "partial 16S ribosomal RNA". It matches the Rfam family "Bacterial small subunit ribosomal RNA", at positions 109 to 334 of the family's 1533-position model. The record is from RNAcentral.
AGUAAUGUAUAGGAACUUGCCUAGUAGCGGGGGACGAACGUGUGGAAACGCACGCUAAUACCGCAUACGCUCUACGGAGGAAAGCGGGGGAGUCUUCGGACCUCGUGCUACUAGAUGGGCCUAUAUCAGAUUAGCUAGUUGGUAAGGUAAUGGCUUACCAAGGCGACGAUCUGUAGCUGGUUUGAGAGAAUGAUCAGCCACACUGGGACUGAGACACGGCCCAG